CCUACGGGUGGCAGCUGUGGGGAAUAUUGCACAAUGGGCGCAAGCCUGAUGCAGCCAUGCCGCGUGUGUGAAGAAGGCCUUCGGGUUGUAAAGCACUUUCAGCGGGGAGGAAGGCGGUGAGGUUAAUAACCUCAUCGAUUGACGUUACCCGCAGAAGAAGCACCGGCUAACUCCGUGCCGGCAGCCGCGGUAAUACGGAGGGUGCAAGCGUUAAUCGGAAUUACUGGGCGUAAAGCGCACGCAGGCGGUCUGUCAAGUCGGAUGUGAAAUCCCCGGGCUCAACCUGGGAACUGCAUUCGAAACUGGCAGGCUAGAGUCUUGUAGAGGGGGGUAGAAUUCCAGGUGUAGCGGUGAAAUGCGUAGGGAUCUGGAGGAAUACCGGUGGCGAAGGCGGCCCCCUGGACAAAGACUGACGCUCAGGUGCGAAAGCGUGGGGAGCAAACAGGAUUAGAUACCCUAGUAGUC
This 465-nucleotide ribosomal RNA is filed under the name uncultured Klebsiella sp. RNAcentral describes it as "bacterial SSU rRNA". It matches the Rfam family "Bacterial small subunit ribosomal RNA", at positions 338 to 795 of the family's 1533-position model. Lineage: Bacteria; Pseudomonadati; Pseudomonadota; Gammaproteobacteria; Enterobacterales; Enterobacteriaceae. The record is from RNAcentral.